Molecule: long non-coding RNA, 1762 nt
Filed under: Homo sapiens (human)
Lineage: Eukaryota; Metazoa; Chordata; Mammalia; Primates; Hominidae
Description: HSALNT0263696
Source: RNAcentral
GUGCUCUGAGGAGUUAAAGCUCUGACAGGUCACUGAGGGAGGGUGACUGAGGUCCCAAAACUUUCUCCAGGACCUGUUGGCACCCGUUGGAGGAGGGAUUAAGGGGCUGGCUUGCAGCAUGACAGUCAGGAGCCUUUGGGGGCAGGGUGGGGCUCCAGAUGGGAGGGUUAGGUGACCUGGAGGGCGCCAUGGAGGGCGCAGCUGGUUCCUUGCAGCCUCUAGCCCCCAGAGGACUGGUGGGACCAGCGGGGGUGAGGGCCUUGCAAGGUUGGUGAUGGUGAGCCAGCUGCCAGACGGCAGCAGGGCUGUGUCCCAGAGAAGGGUCAGUGGGCCAACUCCCAAGAUCCAGUAUUUAGUAAACACUUAAGCCCAGCCCCAAGCAGCCCUGGGGACAGAGCCCUCUCCCCUGUGGUGGAUGCAGGUGCAGAUUCUAUCGUAACCCAGGAUGACUGGGUGUGAGCUAUGAGGGAGGCUGCAAAAAGUGCAGGGCUUGGCAAAGGAUCUGUGUAUGGCAGGAGGAAGAUGAAGACUCUGGAAGACAGGGAGUGGAGAGGGCCAGCAGGGUCAGGGGCGUCAUCAUGCCCAAAGAGAGUAGAGGAGAUAGGAGAUACUGCAGUAGGCGAGUGGCCUUGGGGCUUGUAUUUGGGGUGUGAACACUAACAUCUGGAAGGGUGAACACUAACAUCUGGAGCUAGAGACAGCCUCUUGGGAGUCAUUUCUGUACAAGUGGUCAUUGAGAUGACAUGGAGUGGAUAAAACUGUGUGAAGAGUUGAGAAAAAGAGGAAUAAAACCCUAGGGAGCAUUUAAGAGUGGAGAGAGAAGGCUGUGGAGGAGGCAGAGAGAGAGUAGGGUCAGCAGGUCAGAAGAGAUCCCAGAGGCGCGGCUCAGAGGCAGGGAGGGAACAUUCCAGGAAUCAGGGAGUGGCCACCAGUGUGGACUGGAGCAGAGAAGGCGGGGAGGAGACCAGGGAAAUGGAAGGUCCCAGGUGACUUGCAAAAGCAGCCCUGGGGAUGCUGGGGACAGAGGUCCCGGGAAGAGUGUGGGAAGAAAGCAAGGUGGGCAGUGAGAGCCCAGCUGGAGAGGGAGGGCAGACUGGAGAUGGGGUCCUUGAGUGGGAAGCAGGAAUGAAGCUCUUUAAGGAUGGGGAGUGGGCACUUGGGUGAAUGCUAGUGUCCUCGGAGGCUUGCUUCUGUCCCUGUCACAUCUCACAGGACCAUCCCUUUCUCAUUCACAAACUCCCUCAGGCCUCACCCCAUCCCUUGAGGAUCAUGUAAAGAAAUUCCUACUCGCUGGAGACAAUGGCCCCAUUUUUUUUUUUUUUUUUUACAUGCAUCUCAGGGACAGUCUCUCUAAUCAGAUGUGUGGGCUGGGCUGGGGAUCUGAGCACCUGAGGACCCAGGAAAUGGUACAGUGAAUGCACUUCUUUCAGAUGGUCUCCAAAUCACUAGCAAGAGGCUGCCUCCUCCAGAAGGUCUGUUGCUGUUUUCUCCCAUCCUCUUGGCCAUUCUAUGACCCUUUGCCAUGUCCCAGAACCAAGGUCAGCAGCACAGUGCUUUACUGAUGAUUAGAACAAGGUACCUGGAUGCCCUUGCUGUGGCAUGAUCUAUCUAGGGGCUCUGAAGCCCUCCUGCACCUCCUGUAGGCUCACAACCUGGUGCAGGGAUACCGGAGGAGGAGGUAGCUGUGUGCAGGGGGCCCCUGUGUCCCAGAGACAGGCUGAGGCUCAAACAUCAGACAUAUUUUCCAGAUUGAUUACCAUGC